GUCAAGAGUAUUGUAUUAGAGAAAGACCGUAUUGCAUUUGUAAUCCUAAACUGAAUAGGUUCUCCACCUCUUCUUAUUAGCUUGGGUAACCAUGAUAUGCUGCUAGGUGUCACUCAUGGUUUGUGGAAGCCCUAAACGUGUAUAAUCACUAAAGGGUGAAUUGAAAGUAAGUUUCAAUUCACAAUCGAUGUGAAAUGGUUUUAAUCGCCCACUGCCUCGCUAAAAGGAACCUAAUAGAUCGUACACCGUGUAAGGUGAAGAUUGAAGAAACAAUGGAGAUGAGUAAGAAUAAUUAAAUGGUUCAAUUAUUUAUGGCAAGGAUUAAUUAAUAUGUUAAUUAAUCAAACGAAUAAGUUCGUUAAAGACCUCGGGAUAGUUUUGGACCUUAAAGCCCAAUGGGCUUCGAACAUCAAGCCCAUUGACUUAAGUUGUAUGACAAUUUAAUGAAUAAAGAUUCACAAAGGCCCAAAAGCCCAAAUUCCCUAUGUGGCCGGCCAUGUGUGAUGAAUUAGGGUUUUGGUUCUUUAGGUCACUUAAAGAAGUGACUAUAAAAAGGACUUUAUAGCCUAAAAUUCAUUAAGGGUUUUUUGUGGAGAAAAUUGGAGAGAACAUGUCUCUCCUUUUCUCUCUAGGAGGCCGGCCCCCUUGGAGGGUGCAUCUAGCAAUCCCACUACU
This 675-nucleotide long non-coding RNA is filed under the name Malus domestica (apple). RNAcentral's name for it is "long non-coding RNA (MDOM_LNC019618)". The record is from RNAcentral. Lineage: Eukaryota; Viridiplantae; Streptophyta; Magnoliopsida; Rosales; Rosaceae.